Molecule: ribosomal RNA, 578 nt
Filed under: Papiliotrema rajasthanensis
Lineage: Eukaryota; Fungi; Basidiomycota; Tremellomycetes; Tremellales; Rhynchogastremaceae
Description: LSU rRNA
Rfam family: Eukaryotic large subunit ribosomal RNA
Source: RNAcentral
UACGGCGAGUGAACCGGGAAGAGCUCAAAUUUGAAAUCUGGCGUCCUCAGGGCGUCCGAGUUGUAAUCUAUAGAGGCGUUUUCCGUGCCGGACCGUGUCCAAGUUCCUUGGAACAGGAUAUCAAAGAGGGUGACAAUCCCGUACUUGACACGAUGACCGGUGCUCUGUGAUACGUCUUCUACGAGUCGAGUUGUUUGGGAAUGCAGCUCAAAAUGGGUGGUGAGUUCCAUCUAAAGCUAAAUAUUGGCGAGAGACCGAUAGCGAACAAGUACCGUGAGGGAAAGAUGAAAAGCACUUUGGAAAGAGAGUUAAACAGUACGUGAAAUUGUUGAAAGGGAAACGAUUGAAGUCAGUCGUGACUGAGAGGCUCAGCCGGUUCUGCCGGUGUAUUCCCCUCAGUCGGGUCAACAUCAGUUUUGUCCGGUGGAAAAGGGCGGUAGGAACGUGGCACCUCCGGGUGUGUUAUAGCCUGCCGUCGCAUACAUCGGGUGAGACUGAGGAAUGCAGCUCGCCUCUAUGGCCGGGGUUCGCCCACGUCCGAGCUUAGGAUGUUGACAUAAUGGCUUUAAACGACCCGU